Molecule: long non-coding RNA, 2537 nt
Organism: Columba livia (rock pigeon)
Lineage: Eukaryota; Metazoa; Chordata; Aves; Columbiformes; Columbidae
Exons: 2
Source: RefSeq, a predicted model, not a curated record
GUGAAAACAGAGGGAGAACAAAACCAGCCUUUCCUGCCUCUGUGGAUUCAGCUGUUCUUUUAUGUCUUAGAUUUCAGUUGCAACCUCUUUGGGGGCGAAGACUUUUUGUUCUGCGUUUGUAUGGGGUCCAGCACGGCGAGGGGCUGGCUCAGAGGUGUUCAAAGCAUUGUCCCCCUGCUCAUCAGUCAAGUGAAGGAGAAGUCUGACAGAGCCAGUCACUGAAACAUUUGCAAAAUGAGUUUGAAAAGUUAAAACCACAAGAGCUAAACAUGUUAAGACCAGGUAAAACUGACUUACUGGAGUUUUUUUCUGACUUUAUUCAAAAGAUGUGAAUUUCAAAAUGGCAAUGGACAUGCAAAAUCCAAGAAAGAUUGACUUAAAAGUGGGUAGGAAUACAAUCUAGAGCAGGGGGUUAAAUCCACAGAAAUGUCAUGUUACAUGGCCGUUAUGGCUGAGCUAGAGUCUGCUUAAGACUGUUCGCUUUCCACUUGUAGUAUAGAGUUUGUAGUUGCCUACAGAUUUAUAUUGCUUUUGGUCAUAUGUAGUCCACAGGCGACUUGAUCUAGUGUUAUGUAUCCUCCCUAUGUAACCCAGAAUAGAAAGUCUGAUCACACACAAAACAAGGUUGGCUUUAUUUAUGAUUGUGGAAAUACAGUAGUAUCUCAGAUGCCCAGAGCUUUUAUGAUGUGUAUAAGCCUGAAUAUAUAAAUAGAUGCCCGGAUCAGCUAAAGGUUUCUCCAGUUAUGUCAGGACAUAUUGACAGCUUGUCUGUGGCUCAUUCCUCAGCUUGCUCCAGAGGAAUGUAAUUUGAUAUUUGCACUUUUUCCACUUGCAUGUAUUUCAUAUACGCUUUGCUUAUCUCUGUUGUUGUAAAUGGAUGUAUUUUCUGCAGCUGUUCAAAGCAAGAAUAGAGGUUCUGAGCUGUGAAAUGUAAUGUUAAGUCCGAGACAGCAGCGGUAUCUUAGCAGACUCAGGCCUUUCCCAUUUGGAAACAGUGGUAUUUUAUCCCGCACCAUGCUGUGUAUGGUAAAACAAGUUUCUCCCAAUGUAUUUUACAGCAGCAGAAACUGCUGCAUGGGGUAGGGACGGGACUUGGAAGUUUCAUGUAGCAGCUGCAUAUCAGAGCUGGGAGUCUGCAUAGCCCCAGGAUUUAAGGCAAAUUAGUGGUCCCACAUCUGGCUGACCUAUGGGUCUCAGGUGGACCUUCCCUAAGAGGCUGGCUCCUCUCUCUGCAGAGAAGCUCCUGUUGACCAACAGCACAGGCAAAUCCCAGCAGGGUGGCAGAACCGCUGUCACAAGAGAGCAGAGGCUUGAGGUAGUGAGACCAAAAGCAUUUUAAGCAUGAAACUAGACAUCAGAUAAGCUCUUUUAAUGGAGUUGCGCUAUCCAAGCUGCUCACUUUUUGUCUCUGGAAGAGCUGAAAAAAGGCUCUGCAAAGGGCGGCACUCAGUCUGUGCUGGGGUGCAGAUUCUUCAAGGCCAGUCACAAAUGGCAGUGCAGCAUCUUUUAUUUUUAAACACCUCUCAGAGACAGGCUCUGAAGAGCAAGAGGCUUCUCUGGCUGCAAGGGAAAAUAUAUCUGGUGUAUCUUUCACUGGAAGUGUUUAUAGGGUAAAUCAGGACUGUUACAAUGUCUGAGGCUAGCUCAUGUAUCAAAAGCAGUUUAGCUACAGCGGUACAGGAGUGAGCUCUGUGUUUUAUUAAUUUACUCUGCUUCUCUACAAUAUAUUACAAAGAACAUGGGCCUGUGUGGCACUGGGUCAUACUCAGGCCUUAAAUUUAUCAGAACCAUGAAACAGGUGAAAGAGGAAGAAAAUAGCUCUAUUCCUUCAACUGUUCCUAUUUCUAUCUCCUAAAUACUAGCUGUAACCCAUGUCUGUUGUUGUUUCAUAUAUACUUUGCCUGGUGCAUUAGAGAAUGGAUGAACAGUCCGUUUCAUCCAGUUCAUUUUAAGGUCUGGCUGUGCAGAAUCCCCUGCUUUGUGGCAGCGUUACCAAAUGAUAAAACGGAUCCUUGUUUUCCAUCCCAUCCUCUGGGCAGCGGUGGAAUGAGAUCUGGCUAUUUUAGAUGGUGGUGGCAGAGCAGAAUUGAAAGGAUCAAACACAGCAGUAGCCAGAGGUUUGGAUUCUUCCCUGAUCUGCAUCUUCUGCAGCCUUAUGUCACCUCCAUCAAUAUUGGAUGUAAGUCAGGAAAGAAUUGGUUCCUGGUGUUCUCAUCCGGAUGUACAACUGAUUGAUGUGCUUUAACUCCUGUCAGUGUUAAUGUGAGUUGCUACAUGCACAUGAAUCCCCACAUGGCUACAGGCCUCUUGGAUUUCCUUAUGUUCUUGGGAUAUCAUUACAUUUUUUACUUUGGACAUUGCAAGAACAUAUCCAGGAUGCAAUUCUGGAUUGCAAUAGAGCAUAAUAUAUUUUUACACAUGUUUAUAAAACAUAAACUGUACCAAUCUUGCAUUGUAUCCCAUUGUAAUCAUAGCAGGCUUUCGAAGUAGCAGCAAAAAGAGGACUCUAGAUUUUUAUAAGAACUACCUUCGUGUAA